This 75-nucleotide transfer RNA is filed under the name Acidobacteriota bacterium. Its description in RNAcentral is "tRNA-Trp". It matches the Rfam family "tRNA". From Rfam's summary of the family: Transfer RNA (tRNA) molecules are approximately 80 nucleotides in length. Their secondary structure includes four short double-helical elements and three loops (D, anti-codon, and T loops). The record is from RNAcentral. Lineage: Bacteria; Pseudomonadati; Acidobacteriota. RNAcentral also lists the same sequence under 1 other name.
AGGAGCAUAGUGUAACGGCCAACACAGCGGUCUCCAAAACCGCCGCUUUCAGUUCGAGUCUGAAUGCUCCUGCCA